AUACACGAAAGUGUGACGGGGUUACCCAAAGUGUUCUUAUUGAACUGUGGUAGGUGAGUAAUGUCCCCUACUAGAAAGGAGAGGGCAAGGCUGGUGCCAGCCGCCGCGGUAAAACCAGCUCUUCAAGUGGUCGGGAUAAUUAUUGGGCUUAAAGUGUCCGUAGCCGGUUUAGUUAGUUCCUGGUAAAAUCGGGUAGCUUAACUAUCUGUAUGCUAGGAAUACUGCUAUACUAGAGGGCGGGAGAGGUCUGAGGUACUACAGGGGUAGGGGUGAAAUCUUAUAAUCCUUGUAGGACCACCAGUGGCGAAGGCGUCAGACUGGAACGCGCCUGACGGUGAGGGACGAAAGCCAGGGGAGCGAACCGGAUUAGAUACCCGGGUAGUCCUGGCCGUAAACGAUGCAUACUAGGUGAUGGCACGGCUAUGAGCCGUGUCAGUGCCGUAGGGAAACCGUUAAGUGUGCCGCCUGGGAAGUACGGUCGCGAGG
Molecule: ribosomal RNA, 486 nt
Filed under: uncultured archaeon
Lineage: Archaea
Description: bacterial SSU rRNA
Rfam family: Archaeal small subunit ribosomal RNA
Source: RNAcentral